UAUAUUUAAGUAUAAGAAGUACAAAAAUUUUUGAAAUUUUAAGGAAUAGUUUAAUUCUAUUAAGUAUAA
This 69-nucleotide transfer RNA is filed under the name Staphylinidae sp. BMNH 1274665. Its description in RNAcentral is "tRNA-Gln". The record is from RNAcentral. Lineage: Eukaryota; Metazoa; Arthropoda; Insecta; Coleoptera; Staphylinidae.